UUAAGUUCAGCGGGUAGUCCCACCUGAUUCGAGGUCAGAUUGAUAAAAUUUGUCGAUGAAGACGAUUAGAAGCAAUCCAUAAAGUUUCGAUCUGGCCAUCUUGCGAUGUCCUCGACGUUAGAUAAUUAUCACGCCGAGUAGAACCAAGUCUCACUAGGAUCAGCUAAUAUCUUUCGGACCAGCCGUUUGUUACACAGCAG
Molecule: unclassified non-coding RNA, 200 nt
Filed under: Cantharellales sp.
Lineage: Eukaryota; Fungi; Basidiomycota; Agaricomycetes; Cantharellales
Description: partial internal transcribed spacer 2
Source: RNAcentral